UCUGCGUGGAAGGGCCAUCGCUCAACGGAUAAAAGCUACCCUGGGGAUAACAGGCUUAUCUCCCCCAAGAGUCCACAUCGACGGGGAGGUUUGGCACCUCGAUGUCGGCUCAUCACAUCCUGGGGCGGUAGUAGGUCCCAAGGGUUGGGCUGUUCGCCCAUUAAAGUGGUACGCGAGCUGGGUUCAGAACGUCGGGAGACAGUUCGGUCCCUAUCCGUCGCAGGCGUAGGAAAUUUGAGAAGACCUGUCCUUAGUACGAGAGGACCGGGAUGGACGUACCUCUGGUGUACCAGUUGUCCUGCCAAGGGCAUGGCUGGGUAGCUAUGUACGGAAUGGAUAAGCGCUGAAAGCAUC
This 354-nucleotide ribosomal RNA is filed under the name Clostridioides difficile. RNAcentral's name for it is "bacterial LSU rRNA". It matches the Rfam family "Bacterial large subunit ribosomal RNA", at positions 2428 to 2781 of the family's 2925-position model. Lineage: Bacteria; Bacillati; Bacillota; Clostridia; Peptostreptococcales; Peptostreptococcaceae. The record is from RNAcentral.